This 479-nucleotide ribosomal RNA is filed under the name uncultured bacterium. Its description in RNAcentral is "partial 16S ribosomal RNA". It matches the Rfam family "Bacterial small subunit ribosomal RNA", at positions 28 to 507 of the family's 1533-position model. The record is from RNAcentral.
GAUGAAUGUUGGCGGAGGGAGGAACAAAGGCAAGUUGAGGGAAGCGCUUACGACAGAACCUUCGGGGGAAGAUGUAAGGGACUGAGCGGCGGACGGGUGAGUAACGCGUGGGUAACCUGCCUCAUACAGGGGGAUAACAGUUGGAAACGGCUGCUAAUACCGCAUAAGCGCACAGUAUCGCAUGAUACGGUGUGAAAAACUCCGGUGGUAUGAGAUGGACCCGCGUCUGAUUAGCUAGUUGGAGGGGUAACGGCCCACCAAGGCGACGAUCAGUAGCCGGCCUGAGAGGGUGAACGGCCACAUUGGGACUGAGACACGGCCCAGACUCCUACGGGAGGCAGCAGUGGGGAAUAUUGCACAAUGGGGGAAACCCUGAUGCAGCGACGCCGCGUGACUUCCGCCGUCUCUCGGUAUGUAAACUUCUAUCAGCAGGGAAGAAAAUGACGGUACCUGACUAAGAAGCCCCGGCUCCCUCCGUG